UACGUAGGGGGCAAGCGUUGUCCGGAUUUAUUGGGCGUAAAGAGCGUGUAGGCGGCUUUACAGGUCCGUUGUGAAAACUCGAGGCUCAACCUCGAGACGCCGGUGGAAACCGUAAGGCUAGAGUCCGGAAGAGGAGAGUGGAAUUCCUGGUGUAGCAGUGAAAUGCGCAGAUAUCAGGAGGAACACCCGUGGCGAAAGCGGCUCUCUGGGACGGUACUGACGCUGAGACGCGAAAGCGUGGGGAGCAAACAGG
This 253-nucleotide ribosomal RNA is filed under the name uncultured bacterium. RNAcentral describes it as "partial 16S ribosomal RNA". It matches the Rfam family "Bacterial small subunit ribosomal RNA", at positions 524 to 776 of the family's 1533-position model. The record is from RNAcentral.